This 86-nucleotide non-coding RNA is filed under the name human gut metagenome. RNAcentral's name for it is "Cyclic di-GMP-I riboswitch". It matches the Rfam family "c-di-GMP-I riboswitch aptamer". Rfam says of the family: GEMM was predicted in a large-scale screen for bacterial structured RNA regulatory elements. Genes associated with GEMM are involved in a diverse array of functions, including chemotaxis regulation, signal transduction, secretion and chitin. The record is from RNAcentral.
AUAAUAGGCAAACCUAAAGAAAUUUAGGGACGCAAAGCUAUAGGGGCUAAGGUGUAUACAAGUACACUAUGUCAGCCAGUUGCCAA